RNAcentral lists this ribosomal RNA (253 nucleotides) under uncultured bacterium. RNAcentral's name for it is "partial 16S ribosomal RNA". It matches the Rfam family "Bacterial small subunit ribosomal RNA", at positions 524 to 776 of the family's 1533-position model. The record is from RNAcentral.
UACAGAGGUGGCAAGCGUUGUUCGGAUUCAUUGGGCGUAAAGGGUGCGUAGGUGGCGCCGUAAGUCGGGUGUGAAAUUUCGGAGCUUAACUCCGAAACUGCAUUCGAUACUGCGGUGCUUGAGGACUGGAGAGGAGACUGGAAUUCAUGGUGUAGCAGUGAAAUGCGUAGAGAUCAUGAGGAAGACCAGUGGCGAAGGCGGGUCUCUGGACAGUUCCUGACACUGAGGCACGAAGGCCAGGGGAGCAAACGGG